This 253-nucleotide ribosomal RNA is filed under the name uncultured bacterium. Its description in RNAcentral is "partial 16S ribosomal RNA". It matches the Rfam family "Bacterial small subunit ribosomal RNA", at positions 524 to 776 of the family's 1533-position model. The record is from RNAcentral.
CACGUAGGGUGCGAGCGUUGUCCGGAAUUAUUGGGCGUAAAGAGCUCGUAGGCGGUGUGUCGCGUCGGCCGUGAAAACCUGCAGCUUAACUGUGGGCUUGCGGUCGAUACGGGCAUCACUGGAGUUCGGCAGGGGAGACUGGAAUUCCUGGUGUAGCGGUGAAAUGCGCAGAUAUCGGAAGGAACACCAGUGGCGAAAGCGGCUUCCUGGUCCAGCACCGACGUCAGGCACGAAAGCGUGGGGAGCAAACAGG